CAAUAAGCUAAAUAAGGGCGUAUGGGGAAUGCCUAGGCUCUCAGAGGCGAUGAAGGACGUGAUAAGCUGCGAAAAGUUGCGGGGAUUGGCACAUACAAAUUGAUCCGCAAAUAUCCGAAUGGGGCAACCCACUAUAUUGAAGAUAUAGUAUCCUUAGGGAGGUAAACCCGGAGAACUGAAACAUCUAAGUACCCGGAGGAGAAGAAAACAAAAGUGAUUCCGUAAGUAGCGGCGAGCGAACGCGGAUUAGCCCAAACCAGUAAUGUUACGGCAUUGCUGGGGUUGUAGGACCACGAUAUUCAGACCAUGAUGAAUUAGAACACUUUGGAAAGAGUGACCAUAGAGGGUGAUAGUCCCGUAUAGGUAAAGAUUGGCGCGAUAGUGGUAUCCUGAGUAGUGCGGGGCACGUGAAACCCUGUGUGAAUUUGGCGGGACCAUCCGUUAAGGCUAAAUACUCCUGAGAGACCGAUAGUGAACUAGUACCGUGAGGGAAAGGUGAAAAGAACCCUGAAUAAGGGAGUGAAAUAGAUCCUGAAACCAUACGCUUACAAGCGGUCGGAGCACGUUUACGUGUGACGGCGUGCCUUUUGCAUAAUGAGCCUACGAGUUACCGUUGCUAGCAAGGUUAAGUGAUUAAGUCACGGAUCCGUAGCGAAAGCGAGUCUGAAUAGGGCGCUUUAGUUAGUAGUGGUAGACGCGAAACCGUGUGAUCUACCCAUGGGCAGGUUGAAGCUGUAGUAACAUACAGUGGAGGACCGAACCGGUUGACGUUGAAAAGUCUUCGGAUGACCUGUGGGUAGGGGUGAAAGGCCAAUCAAACUCGGAAAUAGCUCGUACUCCCCGAAAUGCAUUUAGGUGCAGCGUUGAUUUAUAGUUUUAUAGAGGUAGAGCUACUGAUUGGAUGCGGGGGCUUCACCGCCUACCAAUUCCUGACAAACUCCGAAUGCUAUAAAAUGUUGAUCAGCAGUGAGGGCAUGGGUGCUAAGGUCCAUGUCCGAGAGGGAAAGAACCCAGACCAUCAGCUAAGGUCCCCAAAUAUAUGUUAAGUUGAAAAAACGCGGUUGAACUGCUUUGACAGCUAGGAUGUUGGCUUGGAAGCAGCCAUUCAUUUAAAGAGUGCGUAACAGCUCACUAGUCGAGCGGUUCGGCAUGGAUAAUAAUCGGGCAUAAACAUAUUACCGAAGCUAUGGAUUUAUAAUUUAUUAUAACUGGUAGGGGAGCAUUCUAUAGGUGUAGAAGGUGUACUGUGAGGUAUGCUGGAACGUAUAGAAAAGAAAAUGUAGGCAUAAGUAACGAUAAUGCGGGCGAGAAACCCGCACUCCGAAAGACUAAGGUUUCCUCAGCUAUGCUAAUCAGCUGAGGGUUAGUCGGGACCUAACGCGAACCCGAAAGGGGUAGUGGAUGGACAACAGGUUAAUAUUCCUGUACCUGCUCACACUAAAAGUGACGGAGGCGAAAAGUUAGUGCGUACUGACGGAAUAGUACGUUGAAGCGAGUGGUAACACCGCGAUAGUACACUGAGACUACGGUCAAGGUGAUAAUCUAGCAAAUCGACUUCCAAGAAAAGCAAGUGAAGCAGCCCGUACCCUAAACCGACACAGGUAGUUGGGAUGAGAAUUCUAAGGAGCUCGAGAGAUUCAUGGUUAAGGAACUAGGCAAAAUAGACCCGUAACUUCGGGAGAAGGGUCGCCCCACUUCGGUGGGGCCGCAGUGAAAAGGUCCAGGCGACUGUUUAUCAAAAACACAGGGCUAUGCUAAAUUGAAAGAUGACGUAUAUGGCCUGACACCUGCCCGGUGCUGGAAGGUUAAGUGGUGGGCUUAGAGGUUUACCUCGAAGGUCUAAAAUGAAGCCCCAGUAAACGGCGGCCGUAACUAUAACGGUCCUAAGGUAGCGAAAUUCCUUGUCGGGUAAGUUCCGACCUGCACGAAUGGUGCAACGAUCUGGACACUGUCUCAACCAUGAGCUCGGUGAAAUUGUAGUAUCGGUGAAGAUGCCGAUUACCCGCUGUGGGACGAAAAGACCCCGUGCACCUUUACUAUAGCUUAGUAUUGGUUUUGGAUAAGUAAUGUGUAGGAUAGGUGGGAGACUUUGAAGCGGCAUCGCUAGGUGUUGUGGAGUCAUUGUUGAAAUACCACCCUUUGCUUAUCUAGAGUCUAACCUUCAUUCGAAGGGACAGUGCUUGGUGGGUAGUUUGACUGGGGUGGUCGCCUCCAAAAGAGUAACGGAGGCUUCUAAAGGUUCCCUCAGUACGGUUGGUAAUCGUACGUAGAGUGCAAUGGCAUAAGGGAGCUUGACUGAGAGACCUACAAGUCGAUCAGGUACGAAAGUAGAGCAUAGUGAUCCGGUGGUUCCGUAUGGAAGGGCCAUCGCUCAAAGGAUAAAAGGUACGCCGGGGAUAACAGGCUGAUCUCCCCCAAGAGCUCAUAUCGACGGGGGGGUUUGGCACCUCGAUGUCGGCUCGUCACAUCCUGGGGCUGGAGAAGGUCCCAAGGGUUGGGCUGUUCGCCCAUUAAAGUGGCACGCGAGCUGGGUUCAGAACGUCGUGAGACAGUUCGGUCUCUAUCUACAGUGGGCGUUAGAAAUUUGAGUGGAUCUGACUCUAGUACGAGAGGACCGAGUUGGACCAACCUCUGGUGUAUCUGUUGUUCCGCCAGGAGCAUUGCAGAGUAGCUACGUUGGGAAGGGAUAAGCGCUGAAAGCAUAUAAGCGCGAAACCCACCACAAGAUGAGAUUUCUUUAAAGGGUCGUGGGAGAUGACCACGUUGAUAGGCUAUAGGUGUAAAGGCAGUAAUGUCAUAGCCGAGUAGUACUAAUAACCCAUAGGCUUAUUGUACGCCUGUUUUUUU
This 2847-nucleotide ribosomal RNA is filed under the name Formosa agariphila KMM 3901. RNAcentral's name for it is "bacterial LSU rRNA". It matches the Rfam family "Bacterial large subunit ribosomal RNA". Lineage: Bacteria; Pseudomonadati; Bacteroidota; Flavobacteriia; Flavobacteriales; Flavobacteriaceae. The record is from RNAcentral.